Molecule: unclassified non-coding RNA, 166 nt
Filed under: uncultured Tricholoma
Lineage: Eukaryota; Fungi; Basidiomycota; Agaricomycetes; Agaricales; Tricholomataceae
Description: sequence contains ITS1
Source: RNAcentral
CAAGUUCUCGCCCUCGCGGGUAGAUCUCCCACCCACUGUUAUUGCUACCGUGUUGCUUUGGCGGGCUGCUGGGCCUAGCCCGGCCGCCGGCUCCGGCCGGCGCGCGCCCGCCAGAGGCCCGACAAAUUCUGAUUGUCAGUGUCGUCUGAGUACUAUAUAAUAGUUA